UCCUCGUUAGCUCAGUCGGUAGAGCGGGUGGCUGUUAACCACUAGGUCGGCAGUUCAAGUCUGUCACGAGGAGCCA
RNAcentral lists this transfer RNA (76 nucleotides) under bacterium. RNAcentral describes it as "tRNA-Asn". It matches the Rfam family "tRNA". From Rfam's summary of the family: Transfer RNA (tRNA) molecules are approximately 80 nucleotides in length. The record is from RNAcentral.